This 431-nucleotide ribosomal RNA is filed under the name uncultured bacterium. Its description in RNAcentral is "partial 16S ribosomal RNA". It matches the Rfam family "Bacterial small subunit ribosomal RNA", at positions 29 to 507 of the family's 1533-position model. The record is from RNAcentral.
AACGAACGCUGGCGGCAGGCUUAACACAUGCAAGUCGAACGCCCCGCAAGGGGAGUGGCAGACGGGUGAGUAACACGUGGGAACAUGCCCAAAGGUACGGAAUAUUCUCGGGAAACUGAGAGCAAUACCGUAUGUGCCCGAAAGGGGAAAGAUUUAUCGCCUUUGGAUUGGCCCGCGUCGGAUUAGCUAGUUGGUGGGGUAAAAGCCUACCAAGGCGACGAUCCGUAGCUGGUCUGAGAGGACGACCAGCCACACUGGGACUGAGACACGGCCCAGACUCCUACGGGAGGCAGCAGUGGGGAAUCUUGGACAAUGGGCGCAAGCCUGAUCCAGCCAUGCCGCGUGGAUGAUGAAGGCGCUAGGGUUGUAAAAUCCUUUCGUUGGGGACGAUAAUGACGGUACCCAAAGAAGAAGCUCCGGCUAACUUCGUG